ACUUCCAUAACAACACAAAUAAACCCUAAGUCUCAAAGACCAAAGCUGUGCAAGUCACUGUUCACCUUCCCCUUCAUCAGAAUCGCCCAAAUUCCCCUAACUCACCCCACACGCCUUCUUUCUUUCGUCCUUUUGCCACAUAGAAGUAACGGGCUCUGACAACGAUACGAUUCCCUCCCUCACUUGCCCGUUUUCAAUCUAUCUCACGCGAAUUGGAAGGCUCUAGAAGAAGGGUGUUGGAUGAGUGAGAGGCAUCGGAUCGAUUUCAUUCAAUUCGAGCCUCACGUUCAUCACGCGCUCGUUUUCAGGAGAGCCUUAUCCGUUUUCUUGGAGAGGACGAAGGAAUCCAGAGUUCGCAUAUAUAAGGAGCAUUUUCGGGUAAUAAUGGGGGGUUCGUUUUUUUUUUCAGAAAAAUUUGUGGAGAGUUUCUUUUCUUCUUCAUUUUUUUUCCUGCAAUAGACAAUGUUGGAAACACGUUCUCAAUGCAAUAUACUAAAACGUUACUUCUUUUGUAUAGGUUUUGAUGAAUGACAAAUGAAGCGAAAAUUGAACAACACAAAAAAAAAAUCCUUGAGGGUCGCUAUUUUAAUUUCCUGUCAAUUAUGGUUUCCAAAAUGGGAAUCAUUUGAGAAGUUUUGAGGCUGUGGUUGCUCGAGGAUUGGUUUUCUGCUGUUUCUUUGUUCUAUGUCUAUUUCAGUGUUGUGACGAAUUCGUUCCAGGUUCAUAUCUUUUCUUCUUCUAUGUUUCUGCUGUGAAUGCGAGUCGUAGACAAUUGUAAAAGCGAUUAAGGUUGGAACAACAGUUGAAAUUCUAUGUUCAAUGAGCGUGCCAUGGAUUUUUAAUCGUCUUGAUGAUAUGUUUGUGUGUCUGUUCAUUUUUGAAUUUAGCAGUCGUUUUCUGUUUGGGAGAACUUCCUGCUCUCAGUAUCGUUUUAACAUGUUUUAAGUAUCUCUGCUAGUAAAGAAAGGUGUAAGAAUUGGGCAGUUGAUUGAAUAAUGUAUCUCUCGAUUCUAUGCUACGAACCUAGUUGAAAUGGUCAGCUCUUUGAGGGCUCAGUAGUGUUCUGUUUUUGUAGUUGUUAAGCGAGCAUGAAUCUAUGAUGUUUAUCCUCAUGAUGUUUGUUUUAUAAGUGAUAUGUGCUUGUAAAUCUUCUCCAUUACUGGAAGCUUUGAAACUAGGAUCACCCCAUUGCAGGGGACAGUUGGGUUGUUUACCGUUGCGAGUUAGAGUUUUGGUCGUUUUGUUAAGGAACGAUCAUUUCAUAGAUGAGUUUUCCCUAUGCAUCUUUGCCGCACAUAGAACCACAUUGUAGCCCUGGUAGAUCUGCUGCUUUGCCUCCAGUUCUUGGCAUUUUUUUUCUCCUCCCUUUGAGGUUGUGAAGGUCGGGCUACAUGUUUUGAGUUCAGAAAUCAUAGUUAAUUGGCGACGUGCUCGUGUGUCUUAAUCUCUUUGUUAGAUUGGUCCGCAGUAAUAUUUAUCUUGUUUCAUCCUUUAGAAAUUAUGCCCGCUUUCUUGUGUCACAAAUUGCAUGAUAACUUUCACGCGUUUCUUUGGGAUAUGUUAGACAAGGAUUGCCCAGAUUUGAACUACCUCAUGUCUGAUAACUUUGAAUUUGCAAGUUGUUAAUGAGCUCAUUCAUGGUUGUGAUAAAUGUUCUAUGAUCCCCCUUCGAGUUCUGUCCAUGAGGUAGUAGGAUUGAGUUCCUUUAUUUUUCAUGUAGGGUCAGUUUCAAUUUUCUAAUGUUUUGAUUAUACCACUGCCUUGGUUGGUCAAUUUUGCUUCUAUUGAUUUGCAUCUCCUUGUACAUGACUACUGCUAAGGUCUACUUGAGGAUAAUGGUGUGAAAAGAUUCAACCAUAUGCAC
This 1864-nucleotide long non-coding RNA is filed under the name Nicotiana benthamiana. Its description in RNAcentral is "long non-coding RNA (NBEN_LNC040707)". Lineage: Eukaryota; Viridiplantae; Streptophyta; Magnoliopsida; Solanales; Solanaceae. The record is from RNAcentral.